AUUGAACGCUGGCGGCAUGCUUUACACAUGCAAGUCGAACGGCAGCACGGGGGCAACCCUGGUGGCGAGUGGCGAACGGGUGAGUAAUAUAUCGGAACGUACCCGGAAAUGGGGGAUAACGUAGCGAAAGUUACGCUAAUACCGCAUAUGCCCUAAGGGGGAAAGCGGGGGAUUCGCAAGAACCUCGCGUUUUCGGAGCGGCCGAUAUCGGAUUAGCUAGUAGGUGAGGUAAAGGCUCACCUAGGCGACGAUCCGUAGCUGGUCUGAGAGGACGACCAGCCACACUGGAACUGAGACACGGCCCAGACUCCUACGGGAGGCAGCAGUGGGGAAUUUUGGACAAUGGGCGAAAGCCUGAUCCAGCCAUGCCGCGUGAGUGAAGAAGGCCUCGGUU
This 394-nucleotide ribosomal RNA is filed under the name uncultured bacterium. Its description in RNAcentral is "bacterial SSU rRNA". It matches the Rfam family "Bacterial small subunit ribosomal RNA", at positions 30 to 424 of the family's 1533-position model. The record is from RNAcentral.